UGGUAUGGAUAGAGUAUUGGUGGCCAGUAGGCACCAGGCCCCUGUCCCAACCGUGAGAUGAGAGACAAUCUUGGUACCCAUAGGGUUCCAUGAAUGGCCCCCCAUGUGUGUCAGGCAACAGAGAGCAAGAGAGGAAGAUCCCAACCUGGAUACUGAGGAGUCCUGGGCUUCAGGACAUAAAGGUUGAGACAGCCCUGAGGGUGUGAGCAACCAGUAUGACUCCACAGCCCAGAAUGAAGAGGGAACUGGUACCAAUGGUGGAAACAGUACUGCCGGCACUCUGUAUGCCUCUGUCAUUUCUGGUGCCAGAAGCGGUGUUGACCCCAAGUGGUACCUAGGUGACUGAUGGUGCCAAAAUGGAGGGAGGUGAGUGCCACCAUGGUAACAAUGGCAGCGCCGAUAGCGUGGGUGUCAAAGAAGUUCCUGGUGCCAAGUAGGUCCCUUAUGCUGAGCCUACCACUGGCCCCACUUCCACUGUCUGUGGAAGGGAAACAUUGGGGUGUGGUGCUGACAGACCCAGAGGUUCAACCAGCUGGCUAUAAAUUAUAUAAAUGAUGCAGCCCUGGCAAAGUCCAGGACCAAGGCAGAGGUCGGGUCAGAAAGGCUGAGGAAGAACCAAACAGGGUGUCUGCUAUGCCGCCUGAGUGGAAACAGCUGGUGAGGACAUCACCCUCAUCAGUACCAGAGUCAAUGGACACCCUUGGCCUGGAACCAGAGUUGAUGGUAUGGGAUUUCUGACAUUCAAUCACAGUAUCAGGGAGUGGAUGACAAGACGUGCUCCAUCCUGUGCUUUGGUGUUCACACCGUGCCAGUCCAUGCUCCUCUGGAGGAGACAGAUGGGUCCCCACAUGAACUGGAGCAGCCUCCAUCAGUCUUAUGUGACCUUUUCCUCAGCGCACUUGAUGGGGAAUGGCUCCUCCAUCUCUUUGGAGAGGUGCAAGCUCCAGAGCGGGAAACGGCAGCACUCUCAGAACCCAAGGGUGACCUUCGAUCCAAUGUAGACGUCGGUGCCAAAGCAGGCUUCAUGGACUGCUGGAGCAGGUGCGGCUUUAGACCAAGAUCCCUCGCCACAUGAGUCCAUUUUGUGAACAAUCUGCCAACGGAACACCGUUCCUUGAUGUGGGCUUUGCCUAAGCACAGCAAGCACGGUGCGUGGGGAUCGCUGUUGGAGAUCGCUGCCCCACACGAUCGACAAUGUUUAAACCCCAGUGAGGGUAUCACCAGGGAAAUACUUGAACUAAACUUAACCAACUAACACUAUAUAAGGGUACAAAUUAAUUAGAUACAACUAGAAGAAGUCACUAAGACAGAGAGCGGUUGUAAGGUUAGGAACCACACAGAGCUCAGACUCCAGCCAUGGGCAUUAAGAAGAAACUGAGGGGGUAGAGGUGGUACUGUCUCAGAUAGCCAUGGCAGGGGCUAUGAGCACAAGGCACAAGGGUCGCCUCCUAUGGGUACUACUAGGCAAAAUUUCCCAGCUCUGAUAUACGGGGCGUGCACACACCUAAGUGGAAUACACAGCUGCAUCUGCUUGAAGAAGAAUCAGCAAGCUCUACAAAAAACAUUGAAGAUUCUUGGAAACACCGGAGGAACAAAGACUGAACUGGGGGAAGUGCUGGACCCAGGCUAAAGGGAUUUCUAGCCCAUGUGUGAAAGACCUGGGGACUCUAAGCUGUAAAGCCAGUGCAGCUUGUCCCUUAAGAAUCUGCAGCCUGCUUGUAUCAUCAGCCAGGAUCAUGUGGUUUUGUGAGGAG
Molecule: long non-coding RNA, 1754 nt
Organism: Mauremys mutica (yellowpond turtle)
Lineage: Eukaryota; Metazoa; Chordata; Testudines; Geoemydidae
Exons: 3
Source: RefSeq, a predicted model, not a curated record